ACAUCUGUAUCUUAGGGGGCUCGCCCCUGAUUAUAAUUAAAACUGAUACACAGUGUCUUUCUGACAUCACAAAAUUUUGCUACAAAAACAAAAUACAAAUGAUAUAGUAAAAUGUAAAAACAAAAAUCUCAAGCAAGCCAGAAAAAAGAACACAAAGAUUUCUUUUCGUUUUCAUCGGCGGCGCGGCUAGCAACGACCGUCUUUAAUUUGUUGUUCGAUUGCAUCAGGCACACCAUAUGAGAUGUCAGACAUCGUAUAUAGUACGUCUAUCCGGCUUAGCUACUGACGGUUAAAGUUAUUUGGUUCUGAUUGCCCUUAACAAUAUAGUUUUCAGUGACUUUGAAGAAUUAGAACCAUCCUCAAUCAUUUUUUAAGUAAAAACGUAGCAAUUAAAAAUAAUGUGCAGUAUAAACGUCAGUGCGAUUCGUAUAUCUACCAGUAGAGGGCCGUAUAUCAGUAUAGAAUAUAUUUGCCCCCAACAACUGAGGAUCCUAAAGCUGUCAUUUGUAACCUACAUGCCUAUAAAUUGACGUACCAAUCGAGACUUAUGUUUGAUUAAAAUAAUACCAAUUCACCGUUGACAGUGUUUGCAAAAUACGUAUUAAAAAAGGCUGUUUUAAGCUGAAUAAGAAGAAGUUGAAAAUGUGAAACUGUGUUUAAAUUUGUUUGGAAAGCAAAGAGUCUGAUACGACCGUUUUAAUUGAAGAAAAUUAUCCAAAUGACGUUCGUGAGAAAGCUGUGAAAAAUAUAAAAAAUUGUUGGGCAAAUUGAAGGUAAGAACUUAAGAAUGUUCAAAGCAGUCAGAAGUCAGGUGCUGAAGUGGAUGAUAUUUAUGAACCGUCGUCAACGCUUUCGAAUGUUUAUAUGACCGUGUAUCAAAUUCUUAGCGGAGAGAUAGUUGUCAAGAAUUUUUAAACUUUCUUCAGUAAAAUAUAAGUUUGCGUAGUUAUUUUGUUUCGUAAAUGGCGAGCCUUAGGAUUGGCCAAUCAUCUUAUCGAACAACGCUUUCAAAUUGUGGGAAUUUGUUUUAAUAAUAAAUGAACUAAAAAUGUUCAAUGAUUAAAGCUCAUUUCUGUUACACCGCUUCGUCAAUGACAUUCUCAAGACAUUAACGAAUCGAUAUUGCAUUUACAACCAUUAAAAUUAAUUGUUGGUUCGGUCACUGAUUGUUUGCUUCAAAAAGUUAUUCAGCCAACUAUCGACUAGAUUCAAUACCAACAAGACGGUUCAGUUUUUGAAGCAGCAGUUUUUAUGACAAUAAUUACUCUUGGAAGAUUUGUGAAUUCCUCGCAAAACUACAUUAACGAUUUGGUGACAACACUAUUUCCAGAACUAACCCUGUAAACAAGCCCAAUUAGCGGCUAAGCGCUUCUCAGUUACUUUGUAUGGGAAUUCGUUAAGUAAUUAGUGUCAAACCACUACAUUUUGAAACAUUAAAAGUCAAUGUUCAUGCCACUAUUGGCGCAAUACUGGCCAAUUUACUGGAAAAAUUGAAAAAU
Long non-coding RNA from Eupeodes corollae, 1499 nucleotides. RefSeq lists it as uncharacterized. The transcript is spliced from 4 exons. The record is from RefSeq and is a predicted model, not a curated record. NCBI's taxonomy places the organism in Eukaryota, Metazoa, Arthropoda, Insecta, Diptera, Syrphidae.